GUCUGAAGCAGCUAAUCUCACAAAUUCGUGGCCUCUUACCAUUGUUGCAGGGUGGACGUGACUGGACGCAGUGGGGCGGGUAUGGAUAAGGUUGAACUGGCUAACGUUGCAAAGCCGGCUGAUGAGCCCACUCUAGGAGCAGCUUCGUCCUCAAUAUCAGCUGCUCGAGGAAUGAAAGACUGCAUUUACGCUAUCGAUCAGGAGCAGAAAGCCUUGGACAGACUCAUCAUGGAGGUCGGCAAUGAUUCUGGAGACAAGAACGUUCGCCUGGAUGGACUUCAGAUAUCCAUGACAUGCAUUGCUAAA
Hordeum vulgare subsp. vulgare (domesticated barley) is the source of this 306-nucleotide long non-coding RNA. RefSeq lists it as uncharacterized. Lineage: Eukaryota; Viridiplantae; Streptophyta; Magnoliopsida; Poales; Poaceae. The record is from RefSeq and is a predicted model, not a curated record. The transcript has 3 exons.